UAAUCACAAAGUUUAGAGCUUCUUAGAUUCAAGAGUGUGAUUUCUCCUGCUAAAUCUGCAAAKAUGCAGCUGUAAAGCAUUAAUGGAGUACAAAUUUGCACCCAUCAUCAGACCAGGAGUUUCUGUUUCUACUCUGCACUGCGUAAACUGCUAUUUGUUACAUCCAAGUCUGAAGUAACGCUGAGAAGCUUCACAUCUGACUUGACUUGAAAAUGCUUUUAGCUAUUCUGAAAGCAAAAUCUACCAGCCUCCUGAGAUCUGUGUUAGUGUAAACCAAAGGCCRUGGAUGCUGCUGCUGCAAGUGACAGAAACAAAAUAUGUUUCGUUUCUGGUAUGUUUCACUAUAACAACUCCUAAAUUCAGGAGAACUUUGAAGUACUUCAAGAAUUCCUUCCCAUAGUUAUCUCACAACAGAAUCUGAAAAAGAGAAAGACAAAGGAAAUGCUAAGAAUAUUGACAGCAAGAAGGGGAAUGGUGGGAACCUGUGACUCGAGUGAGCAAGGUAUACAGGUUCAGCACUAUUAUAUCUUGCUUAUUGUAUCAGGAAGUUGGAACACAGACCAGA
RNAcentral lists this long non-coding RNA (565 nucleotides) under Dromaius novaehollandiae (emu). RNAcentral describes it as "lncRNA (ENSDNVG00000008884.1)". The record is from RNAcentral. Lineage: Eukaryota; Metazoa; Chordata; Aves; Casuariiformes; Dromaiidae.